RNAcentral lists this ribosomal RNA (250 nucleotides) under uncultured bacterium. Its description in RNAcentral is "partial 16S ribosomal RNA". It matches the Rfam family "Bacterial small subunit ribosomal RNA", at positions 73 to 334 of the family's 1533-position model. The record is from RNAcentral.
AAAGCCUUCGGGUGAGUAAAGCGGCGGACGGGUGAGUAACACGUAGGAAUAUGCCCAGUAGUGGGGGAUAACGUUUCGAAAGGAACGCUAAUACCGCAUACGCCCUACGGGGGAAAGGGGGCUUCGGCUCUCGCUAUUGGAGAAGCCUGCGUCGGAUUAGCUAGUUGGUGGGGUAAAGGCCUACCAAGGCGACGAUCCGUAGCUGGUCUGAGAGGAUGAUCAGCCACAUCGGGACUGAGACACGGCCCGA